Long non-coding RNA from Talpa occidentalis (Iberian mole), 1142 nucleotides. RefSeq lists it as uncharacterized. The record is from RefSeq and is a predicted model, not a curated record. Lineage: Eukaryota; Metazoa; Chordata; Mammalia; Eulipotyphla; Talpidae. The transcript has 3 exons.
AGAACGGCUCGUGACCGCGCGUCACCGGUGAAAAGGGCCUUUCCCUUUCUUCUCGCGCUUCUUUCCCCUCCUCCACAGAGGUCUCUCGGUCUCCAUUUCCGAGUUUAUUCCCACCGUGCCUGAGUAAAACCACACUUUUCUCUUCUGUAGUCAGAGGUUGCAAGAUAAAAUCUUCUUUGCCCCUCGGCAUCGCGCCGGUUUCUUAUUGCCAGGGACAAGUUUGUGUGGCAGUGACACCCACCUGUGAGGGCCGCACUGAAACCUACGACACUACCAGAUACAGAUUAUGGGCACCUCGAGAAGGCCCCGAAACGCGGCUGACAUGCUGAAAUUUUCCCUUUAAAGAAAUGAGGCAGGAUUAGACCAGUGAAAUUUGGUGCCUCCAGAUUUGUUCAUCCAGAAGGUGCUGUUCUUGGGCCUCCCCGGUGGCACAGCGGUUGAGCGCUGGGCUGCCCGCAGCCUCUGCUGCGCCCAUUCGAUCCCUGACUGCUCCCUGGCCACCGGAGGAAGGUCCCACAUGGUGCGCAGACCUCUCCUGCCGCCUGCUGCUCCCCUCAGCAGUGUACUUCGGUCCUUCUGCCUGUUCUGCUCCCCUCUCUGGCUCAGGUGAAUUCUCCCACCCUCCUGCGCUUGACUGUACCCAGUGCUUGUAUAAAUAAUUAAUUAAUUAAUUAAUUAAAAAUUACUUAAAAAAAAUAUGUGCUGUUCUCAAAGAUGUAAGAUGGUAUCUCAUUGUGAAUUUAAUCUGCAUUUCUCUUGUUAGAAGCGAUGAUGUACAUUUUUCAUCUAUCUACUAGCCUUCUGCAUAUCUUCUAUAUAUUUUGUUGUUCCAGACCUUAUUUCUAAAUCUUUGGUCCACUUAGAAUUUAUUUUUAUGUAUGUGAUCAACUUCAUUAUUUUGUGUGUGGCCUCCCAGUUUUCCCAGCACAUUUUAUUACAUAGACUCUCCCAAUUGUAUGAUCCUGCCUACUUUAUCAUAGAUUAGUUACUGAAUACCUAUGUGGAUUUAUCUCUUGGCUUUAAACUCUGUCCCAUUGAUCCAUAUAUCUAUUUUUGUCUCAAUACCUUAUGGUUUUUAAUACUGUUGUUUUAUAAUAAAGGUUGAAGUCAGUUACAUGAUGCCUCUCUUUCUCUACUUUUUU